Molecule: long non-coding RNA, 450 nt
Filed under: Mus spretus (western wild mouse)
Lineage: Eukaryota; Metazoa; Chordata; Mammalia; Rodentia; Muridae
Description: predicted gene 16120 (ENSMSPG00010040841.1)
Source: RNAcentral
AUCUCUACAGGAUGUUGUAAUACCCCAAUGUGAUGACCUUUCCUCUGUACUCUCAAACAGGCUACUGCAGUCACCUCUAUGGGAAUUAAGGAAAAGUCGUAUCUAUCACCAACACUUCAGAAGAAGAAGGCUGUCUCACCAUCCUCACUUCUGGCCAUAAAACAUCUCCCUUAAUUUUGUCCCAUGUUAAAGUUCCAUCACACCAAUGAGAAUAUCAAGUAACAUCACACAAUACAGAAAACAACAUGGAGUCAGAAGAAGCAAACACAACCCCAGCCCACCCCACCCCUACUCCAUCAAUCAGCUCUGGGGUUAGAGAGAGCUGCCACAGGAAGACAGCUGCAGAUGAGCCGGAUGGAGCUCACCACAGCCUCUCCUUGCCCUUCCAGCCUUCGGGAUAAUAACAGACAGGUUUCUGAGGAGUGUAAGCUGACAAGAUUAAUGCAGAUU